GAAGUUAAACUGAAGGUGAGGGUGCCGACCUUUCCACGAAACUGGAAGACAGUGGUGUUCUCCUGGAAAUACUGUGUUUAUUUAUAGCGGAGUAGAACAUUCACUGUCUGAGCCAGACACUACACCAGUAGUGGUAGUCCUAUUGGGUUGAACAUUACCCAAGAGGAUAUGAACGGACAGGGUAAUAUUUGUGUUCUGUAAGUAAGGUAAGUAAAAGGGAGAUAAGAAUGAACGUGAGAUUGUGUAUGUGAGAAUGAG
Molecule: long non-coding RNA, 258 nt
Filed under: Mytilus galloprovincialis (Mediterranean mussel)
Lineage: Eukaryota; Metazoa; Mollusca; Bivalvia; Mytilida; Mytilidae
Source: RNAcentral